AUCUGUGGCCAUACCACCCUGAAUAUGCCUGAUCUGAUCUGAUCUCAAAAGCUAAGCAGGGGGGCUGGGGAAUUAGCUCAGCGGCAAAAGCGCCUGCCUUGCAAGCAGGCAGUCGUGAGUU
Molecule: ribosomal RNA, 121 nt
Organism: Cavia aperea (Brazilian guinea pig)
Lineage: Eukaryota; Metazoa; Chordata; Mammalia; Rodentia; Caviidae
Source: Ensembl